AUGGCUGUCGUCAGCUCGUGUCGUGAGAUGUUGGGUUAAGUCUCGCAACGAGCGCAACCCUCGCCCUUAGUUGCCAUCAUUAAGUUGGGCACUCCAGGGGGACUGCCGGUGAUAAGCCGGAGGAAGGUGGGGAUGACGUCAAGUCCUCAUGGCCCUUACAGGCUGGGCUACACACGUGCUACAAUGGCGGUGACAACGGGAGGCAAAGGGGCGACCCCUCGCAAAUCUCGAAAAACCGUCUCAGUUCGGAUUGCACUCUGCAACUCGAGUGCAUGAAGUUGGAAUCGCUAGUAAUCGCGGAUCAGCACGCCGCGGUGAAUACGUUCCCGGGCCUUGUACACACCGCCCGUCACACCACGGGAGUGAGCAACACCCGAAGCCGGUGGCCCAACCCGCAAGGGAGGGAGCCGUCGAAGGUGGGGCUCGUGACUGGGGUGAAGUCGUAACAAGGUAGCCGUAGCGGAAGCUGCGGCUGGAUCACCUCCUUUCUAGGGAGCAUCUACGCGAUGCCCCGAUCCAUGGUCUGUCGCAAGACAGGCCGCGCGGUCGCUGAGCCCUUGAGGCCCAGCGAUGUCUAAGCGGAUCGGGCCUAGCAUGUCGACCGAACCUGGCUGGAUGGCCCCGUGCAGCGCGUCUCCCUUACUACUUGGGGAGCACAACCGGCCUCGGCCGCAAACGAUCCCAGCAUGCUGUUGAGUUUUGAGAGACCGGCGUCCGCCGAUCCUCGCGAGCACAGGCCGGCAACGGCGUGAGCAAUCAACGCGAAGAACAGCCGACGUUAACGCCUCUCCACGGUCCUUGAAAACUGCACAGAAGCCACAUCAGCCGCCAUCGAUAAGCGGCGGCUGAAAAACGGGUAUCACCGGGCCCUGCGUGACCUAACGAUCACGUUGGGCCAGAUCACCGUCAAGAUAGUAAGGGCACACGGUGGAUGCCUUGGCACCAAGAGUCGAAGAAGGGCGUGAACGGCUGCGAUAAGCCACGGUUAGGCGCUAAAUAGCCCGUGACCCGUGGAUUCCCGAAUGGGGAAACCCGG
This 1036-nucleotide small RNA is filed under the name uncultured Alphaproteobacteria bacterium. RNAcentral describes it as "bacterial SSU rRNA". The stretch from base 1 to 488 matches the Rfam family "Bacterial small subunit ribosomal RNA", at positions 1045 to 1533 of the family's 1533-position model. Lineage: Bacteria; Pseudomonadati; Pseudomonadota; Alphaproteobacteria. The record is from RNAcentral.